GUGCUCACUUCAGCAGCACAUAUGCUAAAAUAGGAAUGCUAUAGAGAAGAUUAGAAUGGCCCCUGCACAAGAAUGACUUGCAAAUUCGUGAAGCAUUCCAUAUUUAA
This is a small nuclear RNA of Equus asinus (donkey), 107 nucleotides long. The record is from Ensembl. Lineage: Eukaryota; Metazoa; Chordata; Mammalia; Perissodactyla; Equidae.